Molecule: long non-coding RNA, 227 nt
Filed under: Lathyrus oleraceus (garden pea)
Lineage: Eukaryota; Viridiplantae; Streptophyta; Magnoliopsida; Fabales; Fabaceae
Description: Pisum sativum (pea) long non-coding RNA (PSAT_LNC033932)
Source: RNAcentral
AAUUUAAACUGUAUCAUGUGUUUGGCUUGCAUCGCAUUCCAUCGUGUUUCUUAUCAUUUAAAGUGUUGGAUAUGCCACGUCAAUUAAUGAGGCGUGAUCCAACACUCCUGGUUUUUUCUGAUUUUAAUUCUUUUUCUUUUAUUAUUUAAAUUGCUUUUUCUUUAAAAAUUCGUAGUAAUUUUAUUUUUUAUCCAAAAAUUCCCAAAAUAAUUUGUAAAAUAUUCUUU